GCUGGGUAUGGUGGUGCAGGCCUGUAAUCCCAGCAGCUCGGGAGUCAGAGGCAGGAGGAUCAGGAGUUCAAAGCCAGCCUCAGCAAAAGUGAGGUGCUGGGCAACUCAGUGGGACCCUGUCUCUA
This 125-nucleotide small RNA is filed under the name Marmota monax (woodchuck). The record is from RNAcentral. Lineage: Eukaryota; Metazoa; Chordata; Mammalia; Rodentia; Sciuridae.